RNAcentral lists this ribosomal RNA (253 nucleotides) under uncultured bacterium. RNAcentral's name for it is "partial 16S ribosomal RNA". It matches the Rfam family "Bacterial small subunit ribosomal RNA", at positions 524 to 776 of the family's 1533-position model. The record is from RNAcentral.
UACGGAGGGUGCAAGCGUUAUCCGGAUUCACUGGGUUUAAAGGGUGCGUAGGCGGGCAGGUAAGUCCGUGGUGAAAUCUCUGAGCUUAACUCAGAAACUGCCAUGGAUACUAUUUGUCUUGAAUACUGUGGAGGUGAGCGGAAUAUGUCAUGUAGCGGUGAAAUGCUUAGAUAUGACAUAGAACACCAAUUGCGAAGGCAGCUCACUACACAAUUAUUGACGCUGAGGCACGAAAGCGUGGGGAUCAAACAGG